AUACUGAGCUGGCUGGGGAGACCCCAUAAUUAAGAAGGUGAUUUUCCCUGGAUGAAGCUUAUCUAUUACCCUUCAAAUGUGCUGAACCUGUGAUUUCCACUAGUGGGGGAAACUUAACUGUGUAAUUUGUGGCAGUAGAGUACUGUAAUCAUGCUCUCCUCUU
Molecule: small nuclear RNA, 163 nt
Organism: Phodopus roborovskii (desert hamster)
Lineage: Eukaryota; Metazoa; Chordata; Mammalia; Rodentia; Cricetidae
Product: U1 spliceosomal RNA
Exons: 1
Source: RefSeq, a predicted model, not a curated record